UCUAGGGGGCUGUAAGGUUCAACAGUCUGGUCUGUUUCCCUCUAGGGGGCUGUAAGGUUCAACAGUCUGGUCUGUUUCCCUCUAGGGGGCUGUAAGGUUCAACAGUCUGGUCUGUUUCCCUCUAGGGGGCUGUAAGGUUCAACAGUCUGGUCUGUUUCCCUCUAGGGGGCUGUAAGGUUCAACAGUCUGGUCUGUUUCCCUCUAGGGGGCUGUAAGGUUCAACAGUCUGGUCUGUUUCCCUCUAGGGUGCUGUAAGGUUCAACAGUCUGGUCUGUUUCCCUCUAGGGGGCUGUAAGGUUCAACAGUCUGGUCUGUUUCCCUCUAGGGGGCUGUAAGGUUCAACAGUCUGGUCUGUUUCCCUCUAGGGGGCUGUAAGGUUCAACAGUCUGGUCUGUUUCCCUCUAGGGGGCUGUAAGGUUCAACAGUCUGGUCUGUUUCCCUCUAGGGGGCUGUAAGGUUCAACACAGUGUCUGGUCUGUUUCCCUCUAGGGGGCUGUAAGGUUCAACAGUCUGG
Molecule: long non-coding RNA, 514 nt
Organism: Oncorhynchus keta (chum salmon)
Lineage: Eukaryota; Metazoa; Chordata; Actinopteri; Salmoniformes; Salmonidae
Exons: 3
Source: RefSeq, a predicted model, not a curated record